UACGAAGGGGGCUAGCGUUGCUCGGAAUCACUGGGCGUAAAGCGCACGUAGGCGGGUUGUUAAGUCGGGGGUGAAAUCCUGGAGCUCAACUCCAGAACUGCCUUCGAUACUGGCGACCUUGAGUCCGGGAGAGGUGAGUGGAACUCCGAGUGUAGUGGUGAAAUGCGUAGAUAUCGGGAGGAACACCAGUGGCGAAGGCGACUACCUGGCCUGUUCUUGACGCUGAGGCGCGAAAGCUAGGGGAGCAAACGGG
This 253-nucleotide ribosomal RNA is filed under the name uncultured bacterium. RNAcentral's name for it is "partial 16S ribosomal RNA". It matches the Rfam family "Bacterial small subunit ribosomal RNA", at positions 524 to 776 of the family's 1533-position model. The record is from RNAcentral.